UUCCAGACUCCUACGGGAGGCAGCAGUGAGGAAUAUUGGUCAAUGGGCGGAAGCCUGAACCAGCCAAGUCGCGUGAGGGAAGAAGGCCCUGCGGGUCGCAGACCUCUUUGGACGGGGAGCAAGGCCGCCGACGUGUCGGCGGAAGGAGAGUACCCGUAGAACAAGCAUCGGCUAACUCCGUGCCAGCAGCCGCGGUAAUACGUAGGUGGCAAGCGUUGUCCGGAUUUACUGGGUGUAAAGGGCGUGCAGCCGGAGAGACAAGUCAGAUGUGAAAUCCGCAGGCUCAACCUGCGAACUGCAUUUGAAACUGUUUCCCUUGAGUAUCGGAGAGGUCAUCGGAAUUCCUAGUGUAGCGGUGAAAUGCGUAGAUAUUAGGAAGAACACCAGUGGCGAAGGCGGAUGACUGGACGACAACUGACGGUGAGGCGCGAAAGCGUGGGGAGCAAACAGGAUUAGAUACCCCAGUAAA
Molecule: ribosomal RNA, 469 nt
Filed under: uncultured bacterium
Lineage: Bacteria
Description: bacterial SSU rRNA
Rfam family: Bacterial small subunit ribosomal RNA
Source: RNAcentral